UCUUCUUGGCUCCGGGCAGGGUGCGUCGAUGGGAAACCCCCAAUCGGCUGGGUGAUUUUUUUUUUUUUUUUUUUUUUUUUGGAGCGGGGAGCUGUCCCUCGCAGCACCUGCCUCUCGUGUCUUCCUCUCCCGCUGCUGGACUGACGGGUGGGGCGAGGAAGGAGGGUGGAUGAGGCUUGAGCAAGCGUGGGUCGCUCGGCCUCAGAGGAAAUUCUCCCGGCUAGCCGAGGAGCCGCGUCCGGUGGUCCCCCGCGCCAUGCCGGCUCCGUUCGCUCCGAGCCCCUUCAGGCGCACCUGCCGACUUAGGGCUCCCGGAGCUCGCCGGCCGCGGAGGGCAGCACAGCCUCCACGCGGCGCCGCAGGCCUGGCACCGGCCGCGUCCCCGCCUCGCUCUUCUCGGCAGCCGCCUGGCACUUGCAACUAACUUCGCCCAAGUUUCCUGCGCCGCGGCUCCCCUCUCGGCGCGCUCCUGGGAGCGUGCGCCCGCAAGUCCGCCGCGCCCGGGGCCCCUCUGUCCUCGCUGCUGUGGCCAGAGCCGAGCCGGAGCAGGGGCGGAGGUGCUGGAGGAGAGUUAAGGAAAACGCGCCAUCCCCUCAGUUCGCAGGUCCGCGCUGUGGCACCUCCCGCUCUCCCCACUCCCGCGGCGCAGGGGGCCCCUUCCCAGCCCAGGCCGGCCUCUGCACCGGCUCAGGUUUAGGCGAGUGGAGAGUCCGGAGCGCGCCGCGGAGUCUGCGCACUGUUUGGCGUUGGCAACCCCUGGUGUCAUCCCGGCUACCCAGGCCGGCCUGGCGCGCAGCUGCCGUGGUUGCGGCCGUGGUUGCGGCCCUGGGAGCCUCGCCGGGAGGAAGAAGGCGGCGGGCACGAGUAGGAGAGCUUCUCCAACUACGGAGGAAGAGGGUUAAACCUGGGGAAGGGGAGACUCACCCUUGAAAAUGUUUGAGACUGUUCCUAGCAAGAAAGUGCUCAUUUUCCUUGGAGGUCCAGGUGUUGCUUGCAACAGAAACAGAUGCUUCUCGCAUUUUCUUGCACUGCUGAUGUACCCAGUCAGAGGUAGUGGAGUGAAAAAUAACUCUGGAGGGAAUAAGGACAUUCUUGGCAACCUUUCCGAAAAAGAGCUAGCCCAGGCUGAGAGUAUGCAUCCUUGACUGACUAUUCAGGUCUUUAAAAAUUCUGUGUUGUUUGUCUUUUGUUGUAAUCCUGGUCGCCAGAACGAUCUAUAUACUGAUCUCUUUAAGGUACAGUUAACUUACAGUGUCUCACUUACAUGCCCAGCUAAGGUAAAGGUGUUUAAAAUCAGUAAGUGUAAGUGGUUUCCCUGGAAGAGAGAAGUAAAACGUACCAAUCACUCAAUGCUGGAAUAUUUUUAUGCUAAGCAUAAUUUCCUUCUUUAGUAGUUAGAGCAGUUUUUUUAAAAAAAUAGUUAACACGAUGCAGAAGUCAAACAGCAUGAUUCUGUUUCCGUAUUUUCCUCACUUCUUGGUAUGCUGCGGCACACUUAGAACAUGAUCUGUCUGGAGGUUUUAUUCACAUGGUGGCCUGCCCUUCAGGGAGAACUUGCUUGCCUUCUUUCUUUGGCAGUUUGGAUUUGACCUAGCCCUGCGGUAUGUGCAAGUAGGAACAUCUACAAACGGUUAACUCUUUAAGUCUUCCCACGAUUUCUGUUCAGUUCAUUCACACACACACACAGACACAAAAGCUUUGAUUGUAAUUAUGAACGUGAAUUAAAACUGUUUCAGGCCAUCAGAUUUAUGUAAAAGUUAUGCUUGUUUUGUUCAUUUUAAUAAAAGAAUAGUGACUUAAAAAUUACAGUCAUGAUAACAAAACUGUGAACAGCAGUGGCAUCUAUGUGGGUUUGUGUUUUUCUGAAGAUGUCGUAUUGACAAAUGCUUAUUUUGUAUCAGUUAUGCCCUUGCAUUGUUAAAAUAAUUGGACUGAUUUCUCCAGAACCAUAUUCCUUUACAGGCUCUGUAAAGACACUCUUGUCAUUCACAGACUCUGGCUGGAGCAAUGUGAAAACACUAGCAUGUGUAAUUACAUAGACUGGAAUAUUAAAUAUACUGUUUUGUGAUGAUAAACUACAAAAUUAUCAUCCCCGAGCUUUUCACCUACUGACUUAUAGGUUUGAGACAAAAAUACUGUACACUGGCACAUAAAGAACAUAUGUAUAUAUAGGCCACAAGACAUGAAAGCUGUUAUUCACUAAAUAUUGUGAAUAAAGUUAAAUUUAAUCGUGAAAAUUAUUUUGACACAUAAAAAGGGAGAAGGAUUGUGAAAAUGUGUUUUAUAUUAGUGAGUUAAGUGAUUUUAUACUGUUCAAAUUUAAGUGUAAAAAUCUACUGCAAUAAAUUAUUACAUUAGAAAGAAAUGUUUGUAUAUAUGAUUGAAAUGUAUGCUUAUAUGUGCAAUGUCUUAUAGGAAUAAUAUACGUAAGGUUCCUUGGAUAUAGUUUUUCCAGUAUACCUUUACAAUAUUGUCUGUCUAGUGAUAUUAAAUGAGCCAAAUUUGAACACUCUCAAGUCCAAGAAUGUUGAAUUGUGGGAAACAAAGGUGUCAUAAGAAGAAAAUGACUAUUUGUGUGCUUGUCUAUUCACCAAAUGAAACUUCCCACAUUUCAAAAUAGGAAAGAUUUGGUUUUAGUUCUUGGCUUCCAGGGGAUCAAUAUUCUUGGCCUAACCCUUCACAACCAAAGAAAGAGCCCUCAUAAUCGGCCAUGCAUUAAAGAAAGGCAACGUGGCAUUGCUGUUAUUAACCAACCUUCACACCUCUUGCCUGAAUCUGGUUGAGCUUUUAACAAAGUAAAUUUUCAAGCCAUUUUCAUUCAUAUGUACCAAAAUGUAAAUUCACUAUUCAUAUCCUCAUAUCUUGUGUUUGAAUUGAUAGAGGUAUAUUUUUAUUCUUGCUCAGUUUUGUCCUAAAGAUGAAAAAAAUCCCAGCGUAUAGGAAAUGGAAUAGUCUGUGUGAGUGAUUAGUGAAGGAAAAUAAAUUGAAAGAGAAUUGUAAGUUUGAUGGGCUUUAUUUUGUCAACUCUUGAUUGUAAACACCUAAAGAACCGUGUAAUUUGAUCAGUAGAAGUCGUGUGGGUCUGUAUUUCCCUUGUGGCCACAGUGAUAUAUGUGAUCGCAAAUGUAUCUAAUCAGAAACUGAGUGACACUCCCUCAAAAAAAGUUGUGGGCCUGUGUAAAUUCAGUUUUCUCUUUUUUCCCUUCAAUACUCCCCAGAAAAUAGUCUCUUUUCAAUUCUAAAACUUUCACUAGGAGGCAGCAAUGAGAUUGUUGGGGAAUAAAAAAUACCUUGGCAACA
Molecule: long non-coding RNA, 3300 nt
Filed under: Pongo abelii (Sumatran orangutan)
Lineage: Eukaryota; Metazoa; Chordata; Mammalia; Primates; Hominidae
Description: lincRNA
Source: RNAcentral